UGCUGGAUUUACAGAGCCUGGAUCCAGCCGGAAGAAGACAAAGAAUGGCUUUCGUUUGCCCGGCUGGAUUUCAGCACUUUGAGCCUCUGCCCCAAGGUGUCCUGGGGGCACCUGCCACUUUUCUGUGGCUUAUGGAGGAAGUCGUUGGAAACAUGAAAUCUGAACCUAACGAUGGAUAUCUGAAUGGCGUCAUCAAUGUCCUGCAAAGAUAGGAGAAAAGCCAGAUGGAAAGGUUGUGUCAGCCACAGGAAAUAGGUCUGAAACUGUGACAAACUUCAGUCGCACAAAAUUCUGUCUAAUAUGUGAAUCAUGGAGCAUCUCAGCAAGGAGAGAGCACAGGAGAAAACGAAAAUAGUCCUCAAGUGGCCACCUGCAAAGGGCCUUUGAGUCUGGGGGAUUUCUCUAGGAUUUGGUGGCCAUUAUCACAAAUGGGUAAUUGUUGUGCUGUUGUUGCUUAGCCCACUGAGGUGAUGCAAUGGGAAAAGUGCCAGGUCUGGAGUCAGAUUCAUCUUCCUCAAAUACUUACUAGCUGUGUGACCCUGGGUCAGUCACUUUACCCUGUCUGCCUCAGUUUUCUCAUCUGUCAAACGAACUGGAGAAAGAAAUGGCAAGUCACAGCAAGCCAAGACAGCCCCUGAAAGUAACCAGAAUGACUGAACAAUGACAAGUCUCCCUUAUGAGCAUUAUUGAGAUUCAGAAGUAGAUGGGCAUUUGGGAGCUGCCUGAGACCAGCAGGGGAUGCUUGGUUGGGCCCGGGGGCUCAGAGGAGGACGCAGAAGAGUCGUUUCUCGCGGAAGGGGUUCUCGGCCGCGGGCAGCGGGGUCACCAGCGGGUCCUCCUUCACGUGCGCCUCGCAGAAGGCCAGCAGCUCGGCCGCAGCUUUGGACACCUGAGGCGGGACGUAAAGGGUUAAGAGCCUCGCCGGCCACCACCCGCCCAGGCUCGCCGAGGCCCUCUCGGGAGACACCUUCUGGUCGAGUCUGGAACUGCACCGAGCGGUGCCGGAGCGCAGCGCCACCACGUGGCCAGAGCUGCGAUCGCACUCCUUCCCAGAUCUAAUGAGAGCCGCGCCCCCGCGUGGCCGAGCUUAGGCAUGCAGCCUCACCCUGCCGCCUGUCAGGGACCCCCACGGGCGGGGCCGGUCUAGGCUCCCCGCCCAGUCCUGGUACCCCUAGCGCCCCUCCCUGGCCCAGCCCUAAAUCUCAGCCUCCCUCUUUUCCUCCCGGCAGCGACACCCGCUGGCCGAUCCCAAAACUGCAGCAGAGAUGGGAGAACAUGAGUCUCUUCUGGUGCCUGAUGUCAACAGUGACAGCCUGGCGAGUGCAGCCCUUGGCGUUACAGAUCAGAAAACUGAAGAGAUCAGGGAGCAAGAGGAGGGGCCAGGAUUCACACCCAGCCAAAGCCAGCACUCCCCUUCCCCCUGCACCCAUUUUACAGGGAGGGAAACUGAGGCUCGGGAAACGGACCGGCCGGAUCCUCAGCUCCAGCCGAGGUCCCUGCUAGAGCCCUGACCGCCAAGAAGGACUCGCGUUCGUACAGAGAAUGUCCACCUCGGAAGGGACCUCGGUCAUCAGCUGCCUCAGGGCCCCCGCCCUCCAUGGCCGCCCAGCCCCGCUUGAAGACUCCCCCUGAAGGAGAACCCACCCCCUCCGAAGGAAGCCUAGGUUUCCCUGUUUGCUCCGAGCUUGCCCUUUGCGUACAAAUAAAACAAGCCCAAUCUCUUCCACACUUAAGUACUCACAGAGAUAUCAUAGAGAGCCCCCAGCCUUCUCUUCUCCAACCCCCCCUUCUCCAACUUAUGGCCUUGAAAGUGGGGGAGGAAGGGGGAACUGAGGUGUGUACCUGGCCCUGGGUCCCAUAGCCAAGAUAUGCCCGAGGCAGCAGGGAAACCCAGGCUGAAAUCAGGAAAACCUAAAUCCAAAUCCUUCAUCAAACCCUUACUGUCCGUGUGACCCUGGGCAAGUCACUCUGAUGCUUUGUGACUCAACGUCCCCACUAGAAAGGGCCAACACAGGUUUUAAACCCAAGCCCCUGUGACCAUGGCUCUGAGGCUAGUUCUCGAUUACACCACACCGGCUCUAUCUGGAGUAUAUUGCCCUUUUAUCCCCUAAAAUUAUGCUUUUCUUCAUGUGACUCGUGAUGGCAUCACUCCUUCUUUCCUUCCUUCUUUCUCUUUCCUCUUCCUCUUCCUCCUCUUUUUCUUCUUCCUCUUCCAUAUCACAUUGUUGAUUCAUACUAAGUUUAUAAUCCAUUAAUGAGCCUGUUUUUUUUUCCACAUAAACUUCUAUCUAAGCAUCUUGAGUGAAGGUUCAAGAAGGUUCAAGAAAACCUAAGUAUAAAGCUUUACUUUUAUCCUUAUUGAUUUAGCUCUAGGUCCUGAUUAGUGUGGAUAAUGAAUCCCCUGAAUUGGUCCUUUAUUUGAAUUUGCACUGCUUAUUUCCAUUGGGCUGAAACCAGUUACAAUAUUUGACAUAAUCGUAUCUUCAAAUAAAUACGUUUAACCUCUUCAGGGGAUUUGUUGUUUUUAUUCAUUAAAACCUGGCUGAACAUCUCUAGCCUGUCAAGAUCUUUGGGAAU
This is a long non-coding RNA of Sarcophilus harrisii (Tasmanian devil), 2577 nucleotides long. The record is from Ensembl. Lineage: Eukaryota; Metazoa; Chordata; Mammalia; Dasyuromorphia; Dasyuridae.